AAAGUCGUAACAAGGUUUCCGUAGGUGAACCUGCGGAAGGAUCAAUGCGAGAUAUGUGGAGGGAGACGUUGGAAUGUGAGAGAGAUGAAAGACAUGUAUUUUGAAAUAUUAAAAAAGACUUGCCACCCGGGAUCUCUGGGCUCUU
RNAcentral lists this unclassified non-coding RNA (145 nucleotides) under Glomeromycotina sp. RNAcentral describes it as "partial contains small subunit ribosomal RNA and internal transcribed spacer 1". The stretch from base 1 to 47 matches the Rfam family "Eukaryotic small subunit ribosomal RNA", at positions 1785 to 1831 of the family's 1831-position model. Lineage: Eukaryota; Fungi; Glomeromycota. The record is from RNAcentral.